Molecule: ribosomal RNA, 404 nt
Filed under: uncultured bacterium
Lineage: Bacteria
Description: bacterial SSU rRNA
Rfam family: Bacterial small subunit ribosomal RNA
Source: RNAcentral
UGGGGAAUAUUGGGCAAUGGGCGCAAGCCUGACCCAGCCAUGCCGCGUGAGUGAUGACGGCCUUAGGGUUGUAAAGCUCUUUCAGUAGUGACGAUGAUGACAGUAGCUACAGAAGAAGCCCCGGCUAACUUCGUGCCAGCAGCCGCGGUAAUACGAAGGGGGCUAGCGUUGUUCGGAUUUACUGGGCGUAAAGGGCACGCAGGCGGCUUGACAAGUUGGGGGUGAAAUCCCGGGGCUUAACCCCGGAACUGCCUUCAAAACUGUCAAGCUAGAGAUCGAGAGAGGUGAGUGGAAUUCCUAGUGUAGAGGUGAAAUUCGUAGAUAUUAGGAGGAACACCAGUGGCGAAGGCGGCUCACUGGCUCGAAUCUGACGCUCAGGUGCGAAAGCGUGGGGAGCAAACAGG